AGAGCGAACGCUGGCGGCAGGCUUAACACAUGCAAGUCGAGCGCUCGUAGCAAUACGGGAGCGGCAGACGGGAGAGUAACACGUGGGAACGUACCCUUCGGUUCGGAAUAACCCAGGGAAACUUGGGCUAAUACCGAAUACGUCCGUAAGGAGAAAGAUUUAUCGCCGAGGGAUCGGCCCGCGUCCGAUUAGCUAGUUGGUGGGGUAAUGGCUCACCAAGGCGACGAUCGGUAGCUGGUCUGAGAGGAUGAUCAGCCUCACUGGGACUGAGACACGGCCCAGACUCCUACGGGAGGCAGCAGUGGGGAAUAUUGGACAAUGGGCGCAAGCCUGAUCCAGCCAUGCCGCGUGGGUGAUGAAGGCCUUAGGGUUGUAAAGCCCUUUCGGCGGGGAAGAUAAUGACGGUACCCGCAGAAGAAGCCCCGGCUAACUUCGUGCCAGCAGCCGC
This 448-nucleotide ribosomal RNA is filed under the name uncultured bacterium. Its description in RNAcentral is "SSU rRNA". It matches the Rfam family "Bacterial small subunit ribosomal RNA", at positions 26 to 518 of the family's 1533-position model. The record is from RNAcentral.